GAUGAACGCUGGCGGCGUGCCUAAUACAUGCAAGUCGAGCGAACAGACGAGGAGCUUGCUCCUCUGACGUUAGCGGCGGACGGGUGAGUAACACGUGGAUAACCUACCUAUAAGACUGGGAUAACUUCGGGAAACCGGAGCUAAUACCGGAUAAUAUAUUGAACCGCAUGGUUCAAUAGUGAAAGACGGUUUUGCUGUCACUUAUAGAUGGAUCCGCGCUGCAUUAGCUAGUUGGUAAGGUAACGGCUUACCAAGGCGACGAUGCGUAAGCGACCUGUGAGAGUGAUCGGCCACACUGGAACUGAGACACGGUCCAGACUCCUACGGGAGGCAGCAGUAGGGAAUCGUCCGCAAUGGGCGAAAGCCUGACGGAGCAACGCCGCGUGAGUGAUGAAGGUCUUCGGAUCGUAAAACUCUGUUAUUAGGGAAGAACAAAUGUGUAAGUAACUGUGCACGUCUUGACGGUACCUAAUCAGAAAGCCACGGCUAACUACGUG
This 497-nucleotide ribosomal RNA is filed under the name uncultured bacterium. RNAcentral's name for it is "partial 16S ribosomal RNA". It matches the Rfam family "Bacterial small subunit ribosomal RNA", at positions 28 to 507 of the family's 1533-position model. The record is from RNAcentral.